This 1031-nucleotide ribosomal RNA is filed under the name Streptomyces montanisoli. Its description in RNAcentral is "Bacterial large subunit ribosomal RNA". It matches the Rfam family "Bacterial large subunit ribosomal RNA", at positions 1892 to 2925 of the family's 2925-position model. Lineage: Bacteria; Bacillati; Actinomycetota; Actinomycetes; Kitasatosporales; Streptomycetaceae. The record is from Rfam by way of RNAcentral.
GGUGUGGCGAAGCUGAGAACUUAAGCGCCAGUAAACGGCGGUGGUAACUAUAACCAUCCUAAGGUAGCGAAAUUCCUUGUCGGGUAAGUUCCGACCUGCACGAAUGGCGUAACGACUUCUCGGCUGUCUCGACCAUAGGCCCGGUGAAAUUGCAGUACGAGUAAAGAUGCUCGUUUCGCGCAGCAGGACGGAAAGACCCCGGGACCUUUACUACAGUUUGAUAUUGGUGUUCGGUUCGGCUUGUGUAGGAUAGGUGGGAGACUGUGAAGCUUGGACGCCAGUUCAGGUGGAGUCAUUGUUGAAAUACCACUCUGGUCGUGCUGGAUGUCUAACCUGGGUCCGUGAUCCGGAUCAGGGACAGUGUCUGAUGGGUAGUUUAACUGGGGCGGUUGCCUCCUAAAGAGUAACGGAGGCGCCCAAAGGUUCCCUCAGCCUGGUUGGUAAUCAGGUGGUGAGUGUAAGUGCACAAGGGAGCUUGACUGUGAGACUGACGGGUCGAGCAGGGACGAAAGUCGGGACUAGUGAUCCGGCGGUGGCUUGUGGAAGCGCCGUCGCUCAACGGAUAAAAGGUACCCCGGGGAUAACAGGCUGAUCUUCCCCAAGAGUCCAUAUCGACGGGAUGGUUUGGCACCUCGAUGUCGGCUCGUCGCAUCCUGGGGCUGGAGUCGGUCCCAAGGGUUGGGCUGUUCGCCCAUUAAAGCGGUACGCGAGCUGGGUUUAGAACGUCGUGAGACAGUUCGGUCCCUAUCCGCUGCGCGCGUAGGAGUCUUGAGAAGGGCUGUCCCUAGUACGAGAGGACCGGGACGGACGAACCUCUGGUGUGCCAGUUGUUCUGCCAAGGGCAUGGCUGGUUGGCUACGUUCGGGAGGGAUAACCGCUGAAAGCAUCUAAGCGGGAAGCCUGCUUCGAGAUGAGGACUCCCACCCACUUGAUGGGGUAAGGCUCCCAGUAGACGACUGGGUUGAUAGGCCGGAGAUGGAAGCCAGGUGACUGGUGGAGUUGACCGGUACUAAUAGGCCGAGGGCUUGUCC